GGAUCGAUGAUGAAUCCCCCCAAAAAACAUUCCUUGGAAAAGCUGAACAAAAUGAGUGAAAACUCAUACCGUUGCUCUCAUCCGAACUGAGGUCC
Small nucleolar RNA from Aotus nancymaae (Ma's night monkey), 95 nucleotides. Its record names the gene SNORD116. It matches the Rfam family "Small nucleolar RNA SNORD116". Rfam says of the family: HBII-85 is a member of the C/D class of snoRNAs, which contain the C (UGAUGA) and D (CUGA) box motifs. NCBI's taxonomy places the organism in Eukaryota, Metazoa, Chordata, Mammalia, Primates, Aotidae. The record is from Ensembl.